GUGAGGAAUAUUGGUCAAUGGGCGAGAGCCUGAACCAGCCAAGUCGCGUGAAGGAAGAAGGAUCUAUGGUUCGUAAACUUCUUUUGCAGGGGAAUAAAGUGCAGGACGUGUUCUGUUUUGUAUGUACCCUGAGAAUAAGGAUCGGCUAACUCCGUGCCAGCAGCCGCGGUAAUACGGAGGAUCCGAGCGUUAUCCGGAUUUAUUGGGUUUAAAGGGUGCGUAGGUGGUUUGAUAAGUCAGCGGUGAAAGUUUGCAGCUUAACUGUAAAAAUGCCGUUGAAACUGUCGGACUUGAGUGUAAAUGAGGUAGGCGGAAUGCGUGGUGUAGCGGUGAAAUGCAUAGAUAUCACGCAGAACUCCGAUUGCGAAGGCAGCUUACUAAGCUACAACUGACACUGAAGCACGAAAGCGUGGGGAUCAAACAGGAUUAGAAACCCCUGUAGUCC
This 445-nucleotide ribosomal RNA is filed under the name uncultured bacterium. RNAcentral describes it as "partial 16S ribosomal RNA". It matches the Rfam family "Bacterial small subunit ribosomal RNA", at positions 354 to 796 of the family's 1533-position model. The record is from RNAcentral.